UCUUGACAUCCAGCGAAGCCUUUAGAGAUAGAGGCGUGCCUUCGGGAGCGCUGAGACAGGUGCUGCAUGGCUGUCGUCAGUUCGUGUUGUGAAAUGUUGGGUUAAGUCCCGCAACGAGCGCAACCCUUAUCCUUGUUUGCCAGCACAUAAUGGUGGGAACUCCAGGGAGACUGCCGGUGAUAAACCGGAGGAAGGUGGGGACGACGUCAAGUCAUCAUGGCCCUUACGAGUAGGGCUACACACGUGCUACAAUGGCAGAUACAGAGGGCAGCGAGACAGCGAUGUUAAGCGGAUCCCUUAAAGUUUGUCGUAGUCCGGAUUGGAGUCUGCAACUCGACUCCAUGAAGUCGGAAUCGCUAGUAAUCGUGGAUCAGAAUGCCACGGUGAAUACGUUCCCGGGCCUUAUACACACCGCCCGUCACACCAUGGGAGUGGGUUGCACCAGAAGUAGAUAGCUUAACCUUCGGGAGGGCGUUUACCACGGUGUGGUUCAUGAC
Molecule: ribosomal RNA, 497 nt
Filed under: uncultured bacterium
Lineage: Bacteria
Description: bacterial SSU rRNA
Rfam family: Bacterial small subunit ribosomal RNA
Source: RNAcentral